RNAcentral lists this unclassified non-coding RNA (1692 nucleotides) under Hevea brasiliensis (rubber tree). Lineage: Eukaryota; Viridiplantae; Streptophyta; Magnoliopsida; Malpighiales; Euphorbiaceae. The record is from RNAcentral.
UGAUCCUUCAAGUUUGCCCAAGUACCCACCAACCAAGGAGUUCGAUAUAAAAGUUCGGGAUGACGAUGCAAGAAGGCGUAGAGGUAAAGGGCGUGCACAUGAAACAACUAGAAAGAAUUUUAGAGGAUCUAGAGCUAUUCCAGCACCAGAUGCCAAUGCAGAGUUGCCAGCAUCCAUACAGAAGCGAAAAGGGCAGUCUAAACCUAAAAGCAUCAGUGAACAGUACAAUCCCCAAGAAGAUGGUGGUUCUGCCUUACCUGUUGAGCCUCCUGAAGGAACAGCAAAACAUGUCUACUCCCAUUCAGGGCAGUCCAUGCAUCCUACAAACUUUGGAUCGUCACGUGGUAUGAAUGUUAAUGAAAGUGAGACUCUUGGAGCUCCCAGCCAAGCAUUUGUUUCUCCUAGGAAUACCGAAGAGCCAAGAACUCAGAGAUCUUUCAUUCAUCGGGGAGCAGCCCAUUUGUCCAGAUUUUCUAAUUCUGUUGCAGUUAGAGGCAGUUCACAAUUGGAUAGCAGCUGUGCAACUACAGUGAAUCCACACUGGAAAGAGGAUCGUUUUGAUCCACGAUAUAACCACCUGGAUGAUUCCUCCCACCAUUUACUGAGUAGGCCAAAGUUCUCAAACAAGGAGGGUCGGCCAUCUGGUUUAGAGUCUGCAACGGUAAGGGAAUUUCUGAAAUAGUAUAUGUGUACUUCAAUCUUAUGCUCUUGUUCUCAGCACUGUUCCUGUUUGAUUCAGUUGAAGUUGAAAAAAAGGCCACAAUGGCCCUGACUUCUAAUAUACUUUCUCUUGGAACUGGACUUACAAAUUCAAUUUCAGAUCACAUAUAUAAAAUUCGCAUAACUUCAAACUGUGCAGUUUAAAACCCAACAAUUUUCACAAUUUUUUUAAACAGCACAGCUAUUUGACUUGUGUCUUUUUAUCUGUCUUGCCUUUGAGAUUUUGGAGUUUUAUACUUACCACUUUGCAUUUGCUUGUCACCUCAGGGUUACUUUCAAAAGAAAGGUCAGAUGCAUUACUCCGGACCAUUGAUGACUGCAGGAGGAAACAUUGAUGAGAUGCUCAAACAGCACGAGAAACAAAUCCAGGAAGCUGUCCGCAAAGCACGUUCAGACAAGACCAAGACCAAUACCAAUAAAGCCUACAGUGAAGUUGGACAAACAGAAUCACUACUACACCAUGUAAAAAAUGGUAGGUGACAGUUGGGGUUGAAAGAUGCAUCAUGCAUCCUUUAUUGAAGCACCAGAGCACCAGUGCAGAAAAGCAUAAUUAUCAGGUAUUCCCGUUUGGAAUCUGACAAAUCUCAACACUGCACGAGACUUAACGAUUAUUGAGCUUCUAUGGGGAUCAACCCAUCAGAUAGUUAUCUGUCAUCACAAUGAGGUUCAAGUUAUAAAAAUGCUGUAGAUAAUUCAGAAAUGUGAUUAGUUGGAAAGCCAAUUGAAUCCACCACAGCAAAUUAUUUGACUCCAAAGGGAGAAUCUCUCUUUGCUUUUUGGCAUUGUUCAGUUUGAAAGUUAUAUUUUGUACAGCUGAAAUCUGUAUGUUGUUUUCUUCUUCCAAUAAAUUUUCUCAUUUAGUGUACAACUACAAGGUCACAACAAUCCCAAUUGCUCACUUCACUCAAACCUUUGCUUAAGACAGCUGCACACUCCAAAUACACCAAUGCAGUUUCUUAUUAUUUUUUUUUU